CAGUCGCCGCGGUAAUACGGAGGGUGCUAGCGUUGCUCGGAAUCACUGGGCGUAAAGGGUGCGUAGGCGGGUCUUUAAGUCAGGGGUGAAAUCCUGGAGCUCAACUCCAGAGCUGCCUUUGAUACUGAAGAUCUUGAGUUCGGGAGAGGUGAGUGGAACUGCGAGUGUAGAGGUGAAAUUCGUAGAUAUUCGCAGGAACACCAGUGGCGAAGGCGGCUCACUGGCUCGAUACUGACGCUGAGGUGCGAAAGCGUGGGGAGCAAACAGGAUUAGAUACCCCAGUAGUCCCUGUCUCUUAUAC
This 301-nucleotide ribosomal RNA is filed under the name uncultured bacterium. RNAcentral's name for it is "partial 16S ribosomal RNA". It matches the Rfam family "Bacterial small subunit ribosomal RNA", at positions 509 to 807 of the family's 1533-position model. The record is from RNAcentral.